UGAAAACGAAGUCCAGUGGAGUCGACUCCAAGUCAAACUGGACCCGGACCUGACACGAUCCACUUGCAGCCACGCGAAAGCACAUUGCAAGUAGUUUGUCGUCUCAUGCGAAUUUCCCACGGGAGAACUGGAGACGAAAGAUUUUUUGUUGGUGUGGGUUUUCCCCUCGCUUCCUUCUCUCUUCUUCUCUUUGGCCAUGUCCUACUUGCUCUCGAAGAUCCGUGGCUUCGAUGCCCUAGCGAGGGAGAUUUGCGUCUAGGGUUUCAUCCGGUCGGGAAGGAGGACGGCGAUGGAGAACGGUAGCCCCUCUCCCCACUAUUUAUAGGUG
RNAcentral lists this long non-coding RNA (328 nucleotides) under Phoenix dactylifera (date palm). RNAcentral's name for it is "long non-coding RNA (PDAC_LNC020301)". The record is from RNAcentral. Lineage: Eukaryota; Viridiplantae; Streptophyta; Magnoliopsida; Arecales; Arecaceae.